UACGGGGGGUGCGAGCGUUGUCCGGAAUCACUGGGCGUAAAGGGCGCGUAGGUGGUCUUGUAAGUCUGUGGUGAAAGCCCGGGGCUCAACCCCGGGUCUGCCGUGGAUACUGUGAGACUUGAGUACUGUAGAGGCAGGUAGAAUAUCGGGUGUAGCGGUGGAAUGCGUAGAGAUCCGAUAGAAGACCGGUGGCGAAGGCGGCCUGCUGGGCAGUAACUGACACUGAGGCGCGACAGCGUGGGGAGCAAACAGG
Molecule: ribosomal RNA, 253 nt
Filed under: uncultured bacterium
Lineage: Bacteria
Description: partial 16S ribosomal RNA
Rfam family: Bacterial small subunit ribosomal RNA
Source: RNAcentral